GAGUUACUCCAACCCCUGUGACAUACCACUUGUUGCCUCGGCGGAUCAGCCCGCUCCCGGUAAAACGGGACGGCCCGCCAGAGGACCCCUAAACUCUGUUUCUAUAUGUAACUUCUGAGUAAAACCAUAAAUAAAUCAAAACUUUCAACAACGGAUCUCUUGGUUCUGGCAUCGAUGAAGAACGCAGCAAAAUGCGAUAAGUAAUGUGAAUUGCAGAAUUCAGUGAAUCAUCGAAUCUUUGAACGCACAUUGCGCCCGCCAGUAUUCUGGCGGGCAUGCCUGUUCGAGCGUCAUUUCAACCCUCAAGCACAGCUUGGUGUUGGGACUCGCGUUAAUUCGCGUUCCCCAAAUUGAUUGGCGGUCACGUCGAGCUUCCAUAGCGUAGUAGUAAAACCCUCGUUACUGGUAAUCGUCGCGGCCACGCCGUUAAACCCCAACUUCUGAAUGUUGACCUCGGAUCAGGUAGGAAUACCCGCUGAACUUAAGCAUAUCAAUAAGCGGAGGAA
RNAcentral lists this ribosomal RNA (506 nucleotides) under Fusarium oxysporum. RNAcentral describes it as "eukaryotic LSU rRNA". The stretch from base 140 to 293 matches the Rfam family "5.8S ribosomal RNA". Lineage: Eukaryota; Fungi; Ascomycota; Sordariomycetes; Hypocreales; Nectriaceae. The record is from RNAcentral.